This is a long non-coding RNA of Carassius gibelio (silver crucian carp), 1585 nucleotides long. RefSeq lists it as uncharacterized. Lineage: Eukaryota; Metazoa; Chordata; Actinopteri; Cypriniformes; Cyprinidae. The transcript has 3 exons. The record is from RefSeq and is a predicted model, not a curated record.
CACACCUUCUCAUUCAAAGAGUUUUCUUUAUUUUCAUGACUAUGAAAAUUGUAGAUUCACACUGAAGGCAUCAAGGGCUAUUUGAGCAAGAAGGAGAGUGAUGGGGUGCUGCGCCAGAUGACCUGGCCUCCACAGUCACCGGACCUGAACCCAAUCCAGAUGGUUUAGGGGUGAGCUGGACCGCAGACAGAAGGCAAAAGGGCCAACAAGUGCUAAGCAUCUCUCGGGGAACUUCUUCAAGACUGUUGGAAGACCAUUUCAGAUUUGAGGGAAAGAUUAAAAACAAGGAGGUCUGGGAAUGACUGAAGGGAACUGACAGCAGUGCGGGAAGGAAGUAAUCACCAGAAUCUCAGAGAAGGAUGUUGACAGUGCAGGCCCAGGAUGAAGAAGAGGAGGAAGAACACGUUUAACAAUUUUCUCAUAAGCUUGCCAUGUGUUAUAAUAAAAACAAUGAACAUGGCUACAAUAAUAUGCUAAAUGUUAUUAAAAGAUUCCAGUUUGCAAGAAGUCUGAGUGUCUGACUCUACACUAGAGGAACUCUUUUCUGAAGAAGAUCAGGUGCUGAGAAGAAGCCUUGUUCUACAGCACAACACUGCAUCAAGCCUCCUGUCCUUCCUUCAGAAGAGCCUGUCUUCUGCUGCUGGGGUAAGAAACACACUCUUCCUCUUCUCUAUCAGCUGUCCUGCACCUAACUCUGCCUCCUCAGCACUGUCUGAAAGAGUCUUCUCCACAGUCAGUAAUCACAGAUCACAGAUUCUUCUGAGAAAGUCAAUACUCUCAUUUUCUUUAAAACUGUUUUCGUGUGGGACAAAUAAUACAGUAGAGAUGCUAGAAAUCUCUAUAUUGUUCAUUUUUCAUAUCUUUACGCUUUAUGAAUGUUUUUUAUCUGAGAAGCUCAAGAAUUAUGGUUCUUUGGUAAUUGCUUUAUUGUUUAGGUUUAUCCUCUGAUAGUGAGCACAGAGCCCUGAUCAUGACAUGCAAGAAAAAGAAAGAAAUCAUGUCCAUGAUUUACUAAUUCGUUCCCUCUAUGUACUAAAACAUGCACGAUUACUUUUACAUUUCAUUGAUUUGCUAAAUCGUAUGCACAAUUUACUAAUUUGUUCUCUUGAUGUAUAAAUAGUGUACACGUUUUAGCAAAUCGAGGGAAUGAAAUAGAAAAUCGUGCGCAUGAAUUAGCCUAAAUGUUUUCCUGCAUGCCAUGUAAUUAAAGCACAUCACCAUCAGACAUUUAUACCAGGAGCCUCAUACGACGCUCACAGUUUUACUUUGUGCAGUAUCUCUGUGCAGUAUCUGCUGAAUUGUUUCAUAUCUAUUUAUCAUGUAUUUUUUGUUGCACUAAAUUAUGUUGUAUCAAUAAGUUUACUGAUAAUUAUUUUUAAUUUUCACUAAUAACGUCAUUAACCAUCUCCCCAUCUUUAAGACAAAAAUGUUCUAUUGUUUAUAUUGUGUAAUCUAUGAAUUGAUGUGUUUAGUUUUCUGUGCUCAUAACAUUUUGCAUGUUUAAAAGAACAGGUGCGAUGUUCAAAAUGUUUUGGCUUCGUAUUUGUACAAAGUAGUGCAGAAUAAAUAUUGAUUUGUGAAUGAA